This 277-nucleotide ribosomal RNA is filed under the name uncultured bacterium. Its description in RNAcentral is "partial 16S ribosomal RNA". It matches the Rfam family "Bacterial small subunit ribosomal RNA", at positions 517 to 793 of the family's 1533-position model. The record is from RNAcentral.
ACGGUAAUACGGUAGGGGGCAAGCGUUAUCCGGAAUCACUGGGCGUAAAGGGUGCGUAGGCGGCUUAGCAAGCCAGGGGUGAAAGGCAUUGGCUCAACCAAUGUAAGCCUUUGGAACUGUUAAGCUUGAGUGCAGGAGAGGUAAGUGGAAUUCCUAGUGUAGAGGUGAAAUUCGUAGAUAUUAGGAGGAACACCAGUGGCGAAGGCGACUUACUGGACUGUAACUGACGCUGAUGCACGAAAGCGUGGGUAGCGAACAGGAUUAGAUACCCUGGUAG